Long non-coding RNA from Mustela erminea (ermine), 101 nucleotides. RefSeq lists it as uncharacterized. Lineage: Eukaryota; Metazoa; Chordata; Mammalia; Carnivora; Mustelidae. The transcript is spliced from 3 exons. The record is from RefSeq and is a predicted model, not a curated record.
AAAAAAGGAGGCUCCUCUGCUACUUGAAAAGGUAAAGGACAAAUAUUCCCUCAUUAAAACUGACUCCUCUGGGCGCCUGGGUGGCUCAGUGGAUUAAAGCC